Lolium rigidum is the source of this 1107-nucleotide long non-coding RNA. RefSeq lists it as uncharacterized. Lineage: Eukaryota; Viridiplantae; Streptophyta; Magnoliopsida; Poales; Poaceae. The transcript is spliced from 3 exons. The record is from RefSeq and is a predicted model, not a curated record.
GCCGGCGUCGUCUUCACCGCCCACGAUCCCGAUCUGCUGCCAACAGCCAUAAAUACGAGCAGCUGCUGCUGCCGGCCGUCGACGAUGCACAAAAAAUCAAGGCUAAGAAUCAGCUAGAUUCUUACUUUCUGUAGCCCGCCUAGUCUGCUGGAGGGGGAGGAUGACACAACCUGGCCUCUCCUUGCCUCCGGCCGUUCCUGAUCCAGCGGUGCUGCAGCUGAUGUGGGGCGGAUCCGGCAUUUCUUGUAAUGUUCUGCAGGAUAACUGGGAGGACUAAACAACGGCGGCGGUGGCAUUCGUCUUGGACUCCUUGUGUGUUUAGGGAAGUUUCUGGUUCCUGUGUGUGAUUUCUUUGUGUAGUUGAUCAUGUAGUAUCUCUUCAUGGCGUUUGCUGGCCUGGAGUUGUCCAAGCAGUAUCAUGGUUGUUAGUUGUCAGUGUUUUCCAAGUGGGCAGACUUGGUUCACUGUUCUGUCUGCUGUGCGCCAUUUUCAAAAGAUGUGCUAUUGUAUUUUCUAGGACUAACUCCAUCCCAAAAUAAGUGACUCGAUUAUGUCUAGAUAUAUAUCUAGACACAUUUUAGCUGUAGAUACAUCCGUAGUAGUGUCCUUGCUGCAGAUAAGAAUGGCCUGAUGCUAAUUUGUUUGUUUCACCAUGUAGAUACUUGUUCAGUAGUAGUGCCCUUGGCACAGACGGAUAGACUUGGUUGAUUGAUUGCCGUUUGUGAUGUGCAGGUUGUUCCGCCUUAUUCGCGCUUGUGUGCGGUGUCGCAGCAGGGAAGGGGAGGAUCCUGCGCCAAGCCAAGGAGGAGGUCGACCUUGGCAUGGUUCUGGCCGCGCUGCUACCUGCGACGGCGGCGGCCACCUGUGUGUUUUACAUACUGUUUGGGAGGAUGGAACCUUGGUAGUGUUUGAGUGGUCUGAAGAUUGGAACGGCCACAGCUUGUUGUAAUUAAUUAUAAUGGUUCGUUCCUUUUGCACUUUUUCUGAUAUUUUGUUGAUGAGUUGCAUGUGGUGAGCUAAAGCUGUGCGUAUGGGAAGUUGAGCUCUAUAUGUAGUAGAUGCUCUUGACAGGUUUUGGUAUCUAGUAUUAUUUGCUGUUUGAUCUGA